RNAcentral lists this ribosomal RNA (297 nucleotides) under uncultured Pseudomonadota bacterium. Its description in RNAcentral is "uncultured proteobacterium partial 16S ribosomal RNA". It matches the Rfam family "Bacterial small subunit ribosomal RNA", at positions 29 to 351 of the family's 1533-position model. Lineage: Bacteria; Pseudomonadati; Pseudomonadota. The record is from RNAcentral.
AGCGAACGCUGGCGGCAGGCUUAACACAUGCAAGUCGAGCGGGCGUAGCAAUACGUCAGCGGCAGACGGGUGAGUAACGCGUGGGAACGUACCUUUUGGUUCGGAACAACACAGGGAAACUUGUGCUAAUACCGGAUAAGCCCUUACGGGGAAAGAUUUAUCGCCGAAAGAUCGGCCCGCGUCUGAUUAGCUAGUUGGUGAGGUAACGGCUCACCAAGGCGACGAUCAGUAGCUGGUCUGAGAGGAUGAUCAGCCACAUUGGGACUGAGACACGGUCCAGACUCCUACGGGUGGCAG